CGACUCUUGCCACCGCUGGCUCAGCAUGUUCAAUUUAUGUUUAUUUGAAAGCUGUUGCACUUGACUAAUGUUCCAUGGCGGGACAUCCUCUUCGAGUCCUGGUGCUGACCAGCGUCGUGGCGUGUGGUUGGAGUGGGCUCUCGCCUGUUGCUGGAUUCCACACGGAGGCUAACCCCUUGAACAGUAGUUUCUGUGGAAUCUUAGGGCAAAUACACACAUUACUUACCCAAGGAGUAUGUUCUGCCCUCUGGGAUGAGUCAAUCGAUACGUCGUGGAUUUGGAGCACCAUCCAAACUAAAUUUGAUUGUAAUCGACGGCGCAUUUGAUUUAUUAGUUUUCCCAUUAAACAAAUUGCCGAACAAUGCAGGCCAAGAACAGUACAUCGACUAUACUUACGCUUAUUCAUGUAGAUUGAUGGUCAUUUCAUUCGUGUAAACACAUCCAUUGACGCAAAUUUGAAUAAACAUUUUCAUUAGCAAAAUGUCCAUGAGCCCCCGGAGACAGCCAUUGCCUGAUGGCCGAUGUCCAGAUAUCCAUCCUGGCCAGACAAUCACUUGGCUUCAAUUGGUUUUUGACUUUGGCAUUUGAAUUUUGGCCUUCAGUAUUCAGUAUUUCCAUACGAUACCGCCCACAGUGAAACUUCCUAGCCAGGCCCAACUAGUAAUUGGCCAUAAUCAUUCGGUAAUGAUCUGGUGGCGGCUCUAAUUGCGGUGUUCCAUUAGGAGUGGCUAAAGGGCAGCGGCCAUUGAACUUUGGCGCCGCUCGUUUCGUGAAAUAUUGGGAAACGAAAUUUGCACGUGAUAUCGCUGAAAUCGAUAGUUAUUUACACCAUUACACUACACUAAUUUAUGACGUAGUGUCUGAGUUGAUUUUCGUCGUUUUACAAUACUGGGGACUCUAGCCUCAAAAAGAAAAUGCAAAAGCUUAAUAAACAAAUAAUUAUAGAUGUACUAAAUCUUGUGUUCACCCUGGACGUCUCUCUUCCGGACGUAUUUUUGUUGAAAAUUUUGAUAUAUGUACAGCGCCCACGCCGGACGAUCCGCCACCUAAUUAUGAUGUGAGGGACCGCUUGGCCUAUAGGAAACUAGUUUGGCCCACCCAGACGUUUGAGCCGGAGGAUCUGCAGCCUCGGAACGAUUGAUUAGCAGCUUGGGCAGUAUUAUACAUAUGUGGGAGAUAUCGUGGAUGUCCGCAAGCUGCCACGUGAUAUAAUGGAAUUGGACCACGAUCCCUCAACGUAUGGGAGCAUCGUCGACGGAGCCUCCAACAACCGAUCAGCCGAUGACCUAGAGCUACCUGAGAUCAUGGACUUAAUGGGAGUGGGAAAUCAAUCAAGAAAUCGAGCGGCAACUUUGCUGGGACGGAUGCAAUCACAUCUUCUCGUUGAAAAGUCUCUGGUCAAUGGAGGUGUUCACGCUGCACCAAAAGGCCAAAUAAAUAAUAACCCUUGAAA
This is a long non-coding RNA of Drosophila pseudoobscura, 1453 nucleotides long. RefSeq lists it as uncharacterized. The record is from RefSeq and is a predicted model, not a curated record. Lineage: Eukaryota; Metazoa; Arthropoda; Insecta; Diptera; Drosophilidae. The transcript is spliced from 3 exons.